AAAGAAGGACGAGUGAUCGCUAGUUUUUUUAACUAGAGGAAAGUCCGAGCACCGCUAGGAUAAAGUGCCUGUUAAUUGCAGGGCAGGGUGACCUGACGGAUAGUGCAACAGAAAAUAUACCGCCACAUUAAAUUGGUAAGGGUGAAAAGGUGAGGUAAGAGCUUACCACAAAUUUGGUAACAAAUUUGGUAUUGUAAACCCCACUUGGUGCAAGGCUAAAUAGAGGAACAAUUAAUUUUCCUAGAUAGUUCCAGGGUGAGCUGCUUGAACUAGUUGGUGACAACUAGUCUAGAUGGAUGAUCACAUCUUUUUUUAAGAAACAGAACUCGGCUUACAGUCUUUCUUUUAUC
This 350-nucleotide RNase P RNA is filed under the name Chloroflexota bacterium. RNAcentral describes it as "RNase P RNA component class A". It matches the Rfam family "Bacterial RNase P class A". Rfam says of the family: Ribonuclease P (RNase P) is a ubiquitous endoribonuclease, found in archaea, bacteria and eukarya as well as chloroplasts and mitochondria. Its best characterised activity is the generation of mature 5'-ends of tRNAs by cleaving the 5'-leader elements of precursor-tRNAs. Lineage: Bacteria; Bacillati; Chloroflexota. The record is from RNAcentral.